GCACUACUGAAGAGUCCCAUAAUAGGACGAAACGGCCUUCUAGUGC
RNAcentral lists this non-coding RNA (46 nucleotides) under Schistosoma mansoni. The record is from RNAcentral. Lineage: Eukaryota; Metazoa; Platyhelminthes; Trematoda; Strigeidida; Schistosomatidae.